Molecule: long non-coding RNA, 1584 nt
Organism: Astatotilapia calliptera (eastern happy)
Lineage: Eukaryota; Metazoa; Chordata; Actinopteri; Cichliformes; Cichlidae
Source: Ensembl
GAGCUGCUCAUUUCUGCUCCACAGGACAAAUGAACCAGCCGCUAAUGGAUGAGACACACCUGGAAUAACUGACUGAAGGCUGGACAGUCCUGAUCCCCAAGGAUCCCCUGAAGGGACCGGUCCCACCCAACUACAAGAUGAUAACCUGCCUCAGUACCACAUGGAAGCUCCUGUCAGACAUCAUAGAGGCUAAGAUUGUCAUCUCAACUCGUCAGUAACCCAAGGCAGACAUGGCUUCGCUGGCCAUUUGGACAAAGAUGACUCCUUUCCUUCGGUGAGAAAUCAAAGAGUUUGAGGGGUCUGUUAGUCCGAAUGAAGAACGAGGAGCUGAUGGGUGAGGAGACGACGUGAAGCUCACACUUCCACUCUGACAAGAUCAUGUGUGUUUCUGCUGCUCAGUGAAGCUCAUUGAUGGUCUGAGAACACGAGCUUGAAGAUGUUUGUUCUUUCUUUACUAACAGCUAACGAAUAAGCCUCAGUGAGAUGUUCUACCUGGAACAUGUUUCCACAUGGAAGGUUCCCUGUAACGUUAUGUCUGCAGAAUGAGAUGAAGCACAGAGUACAGAGUGUGAGAGGAAGCUUGUUCACCAGUCUGACAGUUAAGAUUCAUUCAAACAUUCACACCAGGCUGACACUGUGUGGACACUUCACAAGGAAAAUAUGAGCUCUGUUUUUAGUCUGAUACAAGAAUACAGUUGUUUACUAAAUCAUGUCACAGGAUCUGUUAUUGAUGCUCAUCAGAAAGUUUAGGCCUGGGUCAUCUCACUGAGGUCUAAGUGAUAGUCUGGGAAUGUUGAUGCCAUUUUCCAAAGAAAUGAUUGUUCAGGAGGAGGUGACUGUGAGAUAGAAAGCUCAGAGUUAUUGCACCUGCUGUCUGGAACAGGACCCAGAUGUUUCUCCAACAUUAUAACCUCAUAAUGACGACUAUGCAGAGUGUGUUGUUCCUCAGACAAAAGCUGCAGACUGUCAGGAACCAUCAGCGCUUCAGACCAGAUCAGCUUUUUGAUUUUUAACAAACCACAGAAAAGAAGAAUAUGCUUUCAUGAUUAAAAAGGAAGUGGUCCCAAGGAUGUAUGUAUGCAGCAGCAAAUCCACAACAAAGGUUUGAAAACUGAAUAUCAAAAAUCCAAACUACAGCAGACAACCUGACAAAGAAUUGAGAGGAAAAUGAGACACAGGCCAACAGGAUCAAACUAAUAAGUCACAGGGGAACUAAACACAAUGCACAAACUACACAUGAAAUCAAACACAUUAGUGUAACAGGAGAUGUAACCUCAUUGUAUUUUAGUCACAGUGCAUUCAGAAUAUUUGUUUAUCUAUCUGUGAGGGUUUACUGACAGAAAGUAGACGUUGACUCUGUGUGUGGACCGCUCACUUUACUGUCUGGUUUCAUGUAAAGAUGAAGCAAUGUGCUCAUGAAUUCUGCUUUUCAAUUCUUCCAUUGGACGUAUUUGAGGAAAAUGAUGGUGUCUGAGCUGUUUCUCAUCUUCAGCUUCAUAAUAACAGAUUCUCUGAGGGGUUCAGGUCAGGAGAGCUGACCAGUCAACCACUGUAAUAAGCGUUUGGUUUAGUUUGGCUGUGAGC